Non-coding RNA from Tetranychus urticae (two-spotted spider mite), 1980 nucleotides. NCBI's taxonomy places the organism in Eukaryota, Metazoa, Arthropoda, Arachnida, Trombidiformes, Tetranychidae. The record is from RefSeq and is a predicted model, not a curated record.
AAGAUGAAGAUGAAGAUGAAAACAACUAAUGUUGAAAAGAAGAAGAGAAAAGGAUGAGAUAUUGAUGGUUUUAUCUAAAAUUGUAGACAUAUUCAACCCAUACUGAUGAUGAUCAACAACAAUGCAAGUUUUACUGAAUUAUGCUGUUGAGCCAUUUUUGAUUCCAGAAGGCUUGCUUUCAGUAUAGCUUUAUCCCAUAUUUUGGAACAUCUGAAAGCUUGCUCGAUCAUCAUUUUAUGAUCAUGAUGUACUGACUAAUGUACAUCUGAAUUGAAUGGAUAAACACCAUACUCCAUCAUAAUCAUCGCCAUUUCAUACUUUUCUACUCUCCUUUCAUAUUCAACUUGACCACUUUCCCAUGAUUAACCAGACUUGAUUAAGAUGAAAAGUUGAUUCAUCAUUUAAUCGCAAUUAUCUCCACAAUUAUUAACGUCAAAUGGUCAAUAGUCCUUAAAAUUAUUUUCAUAUCAAUUUAACUGGUGUUCAUUUUUUGGUACCAAUUUAACAUUCCAUAGCAUUACAAAUGUUUGCUCAGCCAAAAUCCAUCAAUUGAAAAAAAGACUAAACGAUCGAUGAUGGACUUUACCUGUUUCCGUGUUGUAAUAUUGCGGCCAACACAGUAUUGAACGGAUUAACUUUGAAAGGCAGGAGGUGAUUGAGAAAGAUGGUGAUAAAUAAGCAAAAGCAAAAGAUGAUGAUGAAGGAUACUGAAGAGAUUGAAUAGCCGAUAUAUUCAACAACAGACAAUAGUUUCCUUGGGUCAGUUUUAUCCUGGUUGACCGUAAACCUCAUUCUUCAAGUUUGCUCACCACUCUUUUUGUGCCUUUUUUCAGAAAAGUGUAUUUACCGGUUCAUUGGACUUUCUUCCGCUUUUGAUAUCAAAUGAUUGAUUAGACUCGGUGGAUCACUGAUUUGUUGAUUGUAAAAUAACCAUAACCUAAGUAAUCUUAAUCUACUUACUAAACUGGCUUUAAUUAAUAAUUGGAUUCACAAUGUGAUUUAAUACAUAUUGGACGUUACUCACUGCUGAUAUAUUUAAAGGAUGAUCAACUUAACGACUACUGGGAAUAAAGGAAUGGAUAAAAAUGAUGGAAGAAAAGUUAACCCGGUCAAUUGAUCUUUUUUUCACCAAAUUCACCUGUUGAAAUGGUAAUGAUAAUGAAGUCAAUAGGAACGUGAUUAUUACAUUUUUGUGGCCCACAAAAAAAUAAGAAAGCUUUUCAAUAGAUUUGAAAUAAUCUAUGUUGGUGUCCAAAGUGAGGUUCAUUUGAAAAGUCAGGAUUCAACAUUCAACCAUUACCUUUACAAUAACCUUUGAUUGUUUUGCUGAUCAACCCUAAAGAUGCUAACAAACAUUUUCAACAAUGAAACUGCAUAAUCAAAUGAAAAGAUACUGUACUUGAAAAUAAUUUACAAUUACAUCAUUUAAUAAGUAAAAGGUAGCACCCAAAUUGAUUGAUCAUUAUCACAAUUCACCUAUUAUUAUUAUUAAGUGUUACUAUUCACCUCGAUCAUCAUCAUCGUAAUCAUAAACUCUUAAAGAUUGAAUGAUAAUCAUGUUAAAUGAGGAUGUUAAUGGUGAUGAAGCAGGAGGUGGUGGAGGAGGAGGUUUGGGUUAACCAGAAAACAAAAUAUAACAUUUACAUCACAAUGCAUUAAGAGUAAUAAAAGUGAAUUAGUUAAUAGCGUUGAUUGUGAUAUUGUGAGUGUUUGGCGAAACGGCAAUAAAACCAAAGUCAAAUGUUACCGAGAUAAAACCAGGUAAACGAAGCCAGAAAUAAAAUGUAAAACAGCAAUCAACUAAUAAUUGAUAAUGUUUGAUUAAACUAAAAGUUAACCUUUAAUCUCAACAUUAUUACAGGUUUAAGACUAAAAUUCAAAUAUUUGACAUUUCCUAUGUUAUAAAUAUUAUUCAAGUAAUUGUCUCAUUCAGAUCAUCGAUACAAAGUUGUAUUAAAUAAAUAUUCAUGUAUUAUAAAA